This 479-nucleotide ribosomal RNA is filed under the name uncultured bacterium. Its description in RNAcentral is "partial 16S ribosomal RNA". It matches the Rfam family "Bacterial small subunit ribosomal RNA", at positions 28 to 507 of the family's 1533-position model. The record is from RNAcentral.
GAUGAACGCUAGCGGGAGGCCUAACACAUGCAAGCCGAGCGGUAGAGUCUCUUCGGAGACUUGAGAGCGGCGCACGGGUGCGGAACACGUGUGCAACCUGCCUUUAUCUGGGGGAUAGCCUUUCGAAAGGAAGAUUAAUACCCCAUAAUAUACUGGAUGGCAUCAUCUGGUAUUGAAAACUCCGGUGGAUAGAGAUGGGCACGCGCAAGAUUAGAUAGUUGGUGAGGUAACGGCUCACCAAGUCAGCGAUCUUUAGGGGGCCUGAGAGGGUGAUCCCCCACACUGGUACUGAGACACGGACCAGACUCCUACGGGAGGCAGCAGUGAGGAAUAUUGGACUAUGGGUGAGAGCCUGAUCCAGCCAUCCCGCGUGAAGGACGACGGCCCUAUGGGUUGUAAACUUCUUUUGUAUAGGGAUAAACCUAGAUACGUGUAUCUAGCUGAAGGUACUAUACGAAUAAGCACCGGCUAACUCCGCG